This 224-nucleotide long non-coding RNA is filed under the name Carica papaya (papaya). RNAcentral's name for it is "long non-coding RNA (CPAP_LNC001298)". The record is from RNAcentral. Lineage: Eukaryota; Viridiplantae; Streptophyta; Magnoliopsida; Brassicales; Caricaceae.
GUCAAUGAUCGUAGUGUUCUUUGAAAGAGAGAGAACCGAAAAAAGGAAGUGAAUUAGAAUAAUGGUGAAGAGCAAAGUCAUUCCGAGCUGUAGAUGUGGCUUUAUUUAAUAAUUGGUUUAGGUGUGUUUGGUUGGGGAUUAAUUAUUCGUAACAGUAUAGUAUCCAAAUUUAAGAUAAUUAUAUACGGCUGUUAUGUUUCCUACAAAACAAAAAAGGUAUUGAU